This 189-nucleotide ribosomal RNA is filed under the name uncultured Glomeromycotina. Its description in RNAcentral is "partial small subunit ribosomal RNA". It matches the Rfam family "Eukaryotic small subunit ribosomal RNA", at positions 893 to 1078 of the family's 1831-position model. Lineage: Eukaryota; Fungi; Glomeromycota. The record is from RNAcentral.
AGUAUUCAAUUGUCAGAGGUGAAAUNCUUGGAUUUAUUGAAGACUAACUACUGCGAAAGCAUUUGCCAAGGAUGUUUUCAUUAAUCAAGAACGAAAGUUAGGGGAUCGAAGACGAUCAGAUACCGUCGUAGUCUUAACCAUAAACUAUGCCAACUAGGGAUCGGAUGAUGUUAAUUUUUUAAUGACUCA